RNAcentral lists this ribosomal RNA (465 nucleotides) under uncultured bacterium. Its description in RNAcentral is "partial 16S ribosomal RNA". It matches the Rfam family "Bacterial small subunit ribosomal RNA", at positions 28 to 507 of the family's 1533-position model. The record is from RNAcentral.
GACGAACGCUGGCGGCGUGCCUAAUACAUGCAAGUCGAACGGAAAGGCCACUUGGGGGCUACUCUAGCGGUGAACGGGGAAGUAACACGGGAGUAACCUUCCCUUGACUACGGGACAAGUACAGGAAACUGGGGCUAAUACCGGAUAGGAAUCAUUGCUUCAUGGUGGUGGUUGGAAAGUUUCGGCGGUUUUGGAUGUACUCGAGGCAUAGCAGCUUGCUGCAGGAGUUGUGGCUUACCAAGGCUGUGACGGGUAGCCGGCCUGGGGGGGCGACCGGCCACCUUGGGACUGAGGGACGGCCCAGACUCCGACGCGAGGGAGCAGGGGGGAAGAUUGCAGGAUGAGCGGAGGCCUGAUGAUGCAGCGCCGCGUGCGGGAUGACGGUGUUCUGGUUGUAAACCGCUUUCAGAAGGGACGAUGCUUGUGGUGACGGUACCUGAACAGAAAGCAACGGCUAACUACGUG